This 229-nucleotide ribosomal RNA is filed under the name uncultured bacterium. RNAcentral describes it as "partial 16S ribosomal RNA". It matches the Rfam family "Bacterial small subunit ribosomal RNA", at positions 568 to 796 of the family's 1533-position model. The record is from RNAcentral.
UGCGUAGGCGGAUUAAUAAGUCAGUGGUGAAAUCUUUCGGCUCAACCGAGAAACUGCCAUUGAUACUGUUAAUCUUGAGUUCGGUUGAGGUAGGCGGAAUGUGUAAUGUAGCGGUGAAAUGCUUAGAUAUUACACAGAACACCAAUUGCGUAGGCAGCUUACUAGACCGACACUGACGCUGAGGCACGAAGGCGUGGGGAGCGAACAGGAUUAGAUACCCUGGUAGUCC